This is a non-coding RNA of Carica papaya (papaya), 721 nucleotides long. Lineage: Eukaryota; Viridiplantae; Streptophyta; Magnoliopsida; Brassicales; Caricaceae. The record is from RefSeq and is a predicted model, not a curated record.
UGAUACUUCUUUAACUUUUCCUUUUUUCUUUUGCUGUAGAACUGAUGUUUUUUAAGUCGUAAAGGAGAAUUUGCAUGUUAAUUAACUUUCAACUGAUAUAUUCAUGUAUUCAUAUAAAUGUGUAGUACACACAAGUUGACACGCCUGCAUAUAUAGGUGGGUAUGCAGUUCCAUAGUUGCAUGCUUUCCAGUCAUAAACUUCAUUUUUAGACAGGUGGUCAUUUCAUGGUGACUGAUUUUGAUAUCUUUUUAUUCUUCUUGUAACUCAAUUUCCAUCUUUGCAGUUCAAGAGAUGCAAUCGUGCUCACCUUGAGAUUAUUUAUGCUGAGGGCUAGUGAGAGAAGAAAGGGAAAGAAGAAGGGGUUUUUAUUUAACAAGUAAGAUAGAUUAUAGUCUUCUUGCUUUGCAGCUUGGUGGAGUAGCAGAUUUUGAGGGUUUCUAGUUAGAAGGUUGAGUAUGCUGCCCAAAUUUGAGUAGCUUUUGUACCACAAUCAAUUGCAGGCAGGAAUGAGCCUGAUGUGUUUUUCGCCCUAUGUAUAUGUAUAUUUUAAAUCCCAGUUGUAUGUGCCUAUGCGAUAACGAUCUAAAUUCCCCCAGGUCCCUUGUAUUUUUCCACGGGCAAUGCACAUACAGAGAAUGCUUUCUUUCACACCCAAAGCUGGACUGUAUAUUUUUGGUGAAAUAUAGAAAUUGUGCAUAUAAAUGCUUUCAUUUGGCUUAA